Bos indicus x Bos taurus (hybrid cattle) is the source of this 1268-nucleotide long non-coding RNA. Lineage: Eukaryota; Metazoa; Chordata; Mammalia; Artiodactyla; Bovidae. The record is from Ensembl.
GUCCUAGUUAGGAUUCUUUUCCUAGUGAGGAUUUAAAGUGCUGGCAUUAGACAAGGCUCCUUGUACUUCGCACAGAGCUGGUGCUCAGUGAAGGGCUGUUGAAGGCCUUAGUGAACACAUAGGAUUCAGAGAACUUUUUUUUAAGAGCUCAAAUUUAUUUAUUUAAAAUUUUAUUUAUUAUUUUUAAUUGGAGGACAAUUGCUUUACAAUGUGGUGUUAGCUUCUGCUGUACAACAACCCGAAUCAGCUAUAAGUGUGUGUGUAUUCCCCUCCUUUCCUCCCAUCCCCCCAGGAGACAGAGAACUUCACGAAAUUAAGUGGUCCUUCCCGCAGCCAGAGGGAUGGACCAAACGGCCUCUCUAAACCCCUUUCACCCCGAGUCUGGGAGGGCCAGGGAAGAGCUGGAGUAAAGGGCCAGCUUCACCUCCCAGGCAGGGAAAGACGCCCCCACCCUCACCCCAACCUCCUCCACGCAGAAGGGCUGUGAGAGCAACUCCUUUCCACACAGGAAAAAAUAAACUCAUUGGCAUCUCCCCACCCCCUCAGCACCCGGUCACCCCCUCUCCAUCCCCACCCUGAUCCCUGGACCCAGCCGAAGGAGCUGGAGUCUAGGAAAAACAACUCCUGGAGAAAGGCCCAGGGCAGCUGGGGGUGGGCUGAGGGGUGCGCGCGUCAGUUUUGAAAGCCCUGGGGCCGCUCUAAGCGGAGGGGAGUGAAAGGGGGAGGGGAGGAGGAGUGGGAGAUGGAACAGAGAAAAAGGGAGGAUUAAUUCGCUACUCGGAUACCAGGGCCAAGGACUGAAGCGUCUUCCUGCUUAUCCCCUCCCCUCCUCCAUCAGGCGUCAUCCAAGGGAGUUGCCUUGGGACAUCCAAGGUGGGGGAGGGGGUGCGGGGACGCUGAGGGCCCGGGAGUGGGAAGCGCAAGGGUGUUUGAGGAGCAAGGAUGUGCGAGGCUGCUUACAGACCCCAGUGGGCUGCGUUCUGGAAGACACCCCAUGGCUGACCCUCUCCAGGUCCCGCCUGAGCCCCUGCAAGGGUUCUGCCAGCGCCGGCUCAACAGCGGCACCUGCUGUCCGGGGCCCUCCCUGCGGGGCGGAGCUCCCCCUCCGCCCUGGGAGCCCAGCGGGAUGACAGAAAGAAGACCUUUGGAAGUACUGCUGUAAUUGCCAGACUUCAGAGACUCAUUCGCCAAGGUGAGUGAGAGGCCACUUUAGUUAGAUCCCUGGAGGUGACAGCGUCAAGAUUUCCCACCCCCCCUCUCCGCAGUGC